This 251-nucleotide ribosomal RNA is filed under the name uncultured prokaryote. RNAcentral's name for it is "partial 16S rRNA". It matches the Rfam family "Bacterial small subunit ribosomal RNA", at positions 525 to 775 of the family's 1533-position model. The record is from RNAcentral.
ACGUAGGUGGCAAGCGUUGUCCGGAAUAACUGGGCGUAAAGCGCAUGUAGACGGCAUAGCAAGCCAAGUGUGAAAUUUAGGGGCUUAACCUCUAAACUGCGCUUGGAACUGCUGAGCUUGAGUGCAGGAGAGGCAAGUGGAAUUCCCAGUGUAGCAGUGAAAUGCGUCGAUAUUGGGAGGAACACCAGUGGCGAAGGCGACGUGCUGGGCUGCAACUGCCAUUGGGAGGCGAAAGCUAGUGGAGAAAACGG